AUUGAACGCUGGCGGCAUGCCUUACACAUGCAAGUCGAACGGCAGCACGGGUGCUUGCACCUGGUGGCGAGUGGCGAACGGGUGAGUAAUACAUCGGAACAUGUCCUGUAGUGGGGGAUAGCCCGGCGAAAGCCGGAUUAAUACCGCAUACGAUUUACGGAUGAAAGCGGGGGACCUUCGGGCCUCGCGCUGUAGGGUUGGCCGAUGGCUGAUUAGCUAGUUGGUGGGGUAAAGGCCUACCAAGGCGACGAUCAGUAGCUGGUCUGAGAGGACGACCAGCCACACUGGGACUGAGACACGGCCCAGACUCCUACGGGAGGCAGCAGUGGGGAAUUUUGGACAAUGGGCGAAAGCCUGAUCCAGCAAUGCCGCGUGUGUGAAGAAGGCCUUCGGGUUGUAAAGCACUUUUGUCCGGAAAGAAAUCCUUGGCCCUAAUACGGUCGGGGGAUGACGGUACCGGAAGAAUAAGCACCGGCUAACUACGUG
Molecule: ribosomal RNA, 486 nt
Filed under: uncultured bacterium
Lineage: Bacteria
Description: partial 16S ribosomal RNA
Rfam family: Bacterial small subunit ribosomal RNA
Source: RNAcentral